Molecule: long non-coding RNA, 281 nt
Organism: Cloeon dipterum
Lineage: Eukaryota; Metazoa; Arthropoda; Insecta; Ephemeroptera; Baetidae
Exons: 3
Source: RefSeq, a predicted model, not a curated record
AGUUGCAGAAAACGAGAAACUUACUUUACCAGUGGGAAAUCGGAGCUGACGUUCGUUUAAAACCAAAGAUAGUGGAUUUUUACGAGGAAACACUUCACUCUAAGGCAGUUGGCAUUAAUGUGGCCGGCGUUUACGCGUUGGAUAUGAGCCUGUUAGCACUGUUAUUUGGGCCGUCAAUCACGUAUUUUGCGACACUUUUACAGUUUCAAUUAUCUUCUAUGGAAAGGUCAAUAUAGAAUUCAAUCAAUAUAUAGAAGUCGGAAACGCAAGCGCAAUACAAA